Molecule: long non-coding RNA, 473 nt
Organism: Aphidius gifuensis
Lineage: Eukaryota; Metazoa; Arthropoda; Insecta; Hymenoptera; Braconidae
Exons: 3
Source: RefSeq, a predicted model, not a curated record
AAUGCUUCAAGAAGCUUCAAGCUGGCUUUAUAUUUCUGGGUCAAGUGCAGUAAACGCCUUUAUGCCUCAGGGAAUUGGACCACCAAAUACCAAAAGCUAUAGUUUAAAUGACAGCAUCUCAUAAGAGUCAAAGACAGAAAAAAAAAAAUGUGCUUUGUGUUGUAAAACAUUGGCUGAUGUUGUUGAGAUAUUUAAAAUUUCUGGAGGGAGAAAUGCAUUUGAGCAGAUGGCACAUACGUUACAAUAAGUGCACUAAAAAGUCACGCGUGCGGGAGAAGCAGAAGCCGGGUAUAACUUGACUGAACGGAAAUAGAAUCACACGCCCAUCAUCAUAAUAAAAACCAAGAAAAAAAACAAAAUAAAAAAAUAUUUGACUGCCUUAUACGUAGACCCUUUUUACCAAAAGAAAAUAUAUGCUGGGAAAUACCGUCACAUGGAUUUUAUAAAAUACUUGGCCAAACCAAAGAACGAUG